This 229-nucleotide unclassified non-coding RNA is filed under the name uncultured fungus. RNAcentral describes it as "sequence contains ITS1, 5.8S rRNA gene". The stretch from base 181 to 229 matches the Rfam family "5.8S ribosomal RNA", at positions 1 to 49 of the family's 154-position model. The record is from RNAcentral. Lineage: Eukaryota; Fungi.
UUUCCGUAGGUGAACCUGCGGAAGGAUCAUUAAUGAAUCAUAAAGGACGAUUCUUUUUAGAAGCGUCCGUUUUUAUGUUCAUCCUUCACACUGUGCACAUUACAUUUUUUACACCUUUUUUAACACAAGUAGUUCAUGAAUGUUCAAAGUCUCGUUAAUUCGAGCAUAAAAAGUUAAUACAACUUUCGGCAACGGAUCUCUUGGUUCCCGCAUCGAUGAAGAACGCAGC